Molecule: ribosomal RNA, 797 nt
Filed under: Rhizobiaceae bacterium
Lineage: Bacteria; Pseudomonadati; Pseudomonadota; Alphaproteobacteria; Hyphomicrobiales; Rhizobiaceae
Description: partial 23S ribosomal RNA
Rfam family: Bacterial large subunit ribosomal RNA
Source: RNAcentral
GAUCAAGUGUCUUAAGGGCAAUUGGUGGAUGCCUUGGCAUGCACAGGCGAUGAAGGACGUGAUACGCUGCGAUAAGCUACGGGGAGGUGCGAAUACCCUUUGAUCCGUAGAUUUCCGAAUGGGGAAACCCACCUUAAAUGCUUGGAAAAUCAGAGUAGCAAAGCAAUUUGCUGCUGUGGUUUCCAAGUAUUGUUUUAAGGUAACUUACCCUGAAUACAUAGGGGUAAAGUGGCGAACGCGGGGAACUGAAACAUCUAAGUACCCGUAGGAAAGGACAUCAACAGAGACUCCGGAAGUAGUGGCGAGCGAACCCGGACCAGGCCAGCGGCUUUUGCGAGACAAGCGGAACGAUCUGGAAAGUUCGGCCGUAGCGGGUGACAGCCCCGUACGCGUAAUGCGAGCAGAAGUCCUUGAGUAAGGCGGGACACGUGAAAUCCUGUCUGAACAUGGGGAGACCACUCUCCAAGCCUAAGUACUCGUGCAUGACCGAUAGCGAACUAGUACCGUGAGGGAAAGGUGAAAAGCACCCCGACAAGGGGAGUGAAAGAGUACCUGAAACCGGUUGCCUACAAACAGAUGGAGCCUGCAAGGGUGACAUCGUACCUUUUGUAUAAUGGGUCAGCGACUUAGUGUGACGAGCAAGCUUAAACCGGUAGGUGUAGGCGCAGCGAAAGCGAGUCUGAACAGGGCGUUCAGUUCGUCGCAUUAGACCCGAAACCGAGUGAUCUAGCCAUGAGCAGGCUGAAGGUAGGGUAACACCUACUGGAGGGCCGAACCCAUAACUGUUGCAAUAGUUC